CCAAAGUAAAGAGUGCUAUCAACCCAGUUUCCCAUUAUCUAAAUUACCUGAUACAAAGUAAAACCCAAAUAAGCAUGAUACAACUGACUGCGGUUUUAACCAAAUAUUUUCUGAUGGCCAUCACCACAUUAUUCCAUAAAAUAUUUGAAAUUUAUUACAAGGAUGACCUCCAACAUGAAGAAGGUGAGCUCCAAGAGAGCAGGAAUCGUCUAUGUCUUGAUCACUGCUGCAGCCCCCCAGGCUUAGCACGGAGCAAGCACUGGAAAUACAGUUGUUGGAUAAAGGAAUGAGUGAUCGUCAUAAUAGCGACAUUUAUUAAGCUUUUCCUCUGUGCCAGGCACAGGGCUGCACCUUUUUACAAACACUAUUUCACUGAAUUCUCACAGCAACCCUCCAAGCAAAUGUAUGAAUUCAUUGGCAAGAGGUGAAAGACAAGAUAUGAAUCCCAGGUCAGAGCCAGCCCAGAGAAAUCUCUUGAAGCCUCACUGAGAAGGUGAACACAUGGGUGCCCAGCUGUUUAAUCAGAGUGGCUCUCGAGACUGAAUAUCAGCAUUAAAGCAAAAUAUCAACUCACAGUCCCUUGAGCCUGGGCUGCAGGGGGAUGUCUGAUGCCCUGGACCGUCUUCAGCAAAGAAUCCUAUUAGGAAAGUAGCCCCAGUAUGGUAGAACCAGCAUCUGAAGGGGGAUCUAGAGAUGCCAGAUCUGUCCCAGCUCUGCAUUAACCAGCAAUGAUGUCCCAGGCCAACAUGAAACAACGGCAUCUGCAAAUCCCUGGCUAUCAGAGAAUCUUCUUCUUUGCUAAGGAGAGGCAGUCCCUUUAAGGAUGGACCAAGUCAACCAUCUGAUACAAGAGAUCUGGGGGCUCUCCUUGAAACAAACAACUAAAGAUUUAUUUUUUGAGACGACACAUCAGUGUUGGCUUGACCAGGAGGAAGUUGUGGGCACUGGUGGGGUAAGGGUAGAUUCCCAGAAACAGCAGAGCCAGGCUGGCAAAGUAACUGGUUUGUGCAGUUCUGAUUCUCUCAGGGUUGGGGGAGAGAAAAGGGGAAUGAGUUUAAUUGUUGAAUGUCUACUAUGACCUAUGUGCUUUUUUUAUGGACUUUUAUUGAGAUAUAAUUGACAUACAAUA
Molecule: long non-coding RNA, 1129 nt
Organism: Hippopotamus amphibius kiboko
Lineage: Eukaryota; Metazoa; Chordata; Mammalia; Artiodactyla; Hippopotamidae
Exons: 6
Source: RefSeq, a predicted model, not a curated record